Molecule: long non-coding RNA, 712 nt
Organism: Micropterus dolomieu (smallmouth bass)
Lineage: Eukaryota; Metazoa; Chordata; Actinopteri; Centrarchiformes; Centrarchidae
Exons: 2
Source: RefSeq, a predicted model, not a curated record
CAACUCAGCACAACACCAGUGAAGCUGGAGCUCCGUCUCUUCAGCAAGUGUUCCUCCACUGCCACUGCACACAUACACGCUACGCCUGCACAUGCGCCCUGACGACCCAGGAGAACACAUCUGGGAAAGAUUCUGAAGGUGCAGAAAGUUUUGAACAUGAGCAGAAGACCUGCUGAAACACAGGAGCUAUUGAAGUCACGGAGGUGAAAAGGUGCCACAUGGACAUUUAAAGAGGUCACUUCCCCAAACAAAGACACAAAGAGGAGGGAAGACUGAAUCCUGCCUGCAUGUGUGCUCACUUAGCAGGGAUGGUAUUACAUGAAAAAAGCUCAUUUAUAGGAGAAACAUAUAUGAAAGCAGAAUGUCUGAGAUCCUUAAUGCUUUAUAUUCAGUGCAGCUUUAGAAUUUGAUUUGUCACCUGUCACCUGAAUUUUGUGUUUCUCUUACAUAUAAAUAAAAACAUUUCCACCACAAAUUGAUGCAGCAAAGGCAGGAACUGGAAAAACAACAACAAAAAAAAAAAAUCACCAGAAUGCAUGAAAUUAAGUGUUAAAUUUCUUGUCUCGUUCUUGUGUAACCCAAUAUCGUGUCUCGGGACACCUCUAAGUAUUACUGUAUUUAAUGUAUUAUUGUUGUUAUUCAUAAUAUUUAAUAUGGUCAGAAUAUGUUUUAUUACCAAGUAGCCAAGGUCAAUUCAACAUGAAAUAAAGCA